RNAcentral lists this ribosomal RNA (253 nucleotides) under uncultured bacterium. RNAcentral's name for it is "partial 16S ribosomal RNA". It matches the Rfam family "Bacterial small subunit ribosomal RNA", at positions 524 to 776 of the family's 1533-position model. The record is from RNAcentral.
UACGGAGGGUGCGAGCGUUGCUCGGAAUCACUGGGCGUAAAGCGUACGCAGGCUGUUUCGUAAGUCGGGUGUGAAAGCCCGGGGCUCAACCCCGGAAUUGGGCCCGAGACUGCGGAGCUUGAAUGCGGGAGAGGGAAGCGGAAUUCCUGGUGUAGAGGUGAAAUUCGUAGAUAUCAGGAGGAACACCGGUGGCGAAAGCGGCUUCCUGGCCCGACAUUGACGCUCAUGUACGAGAGCGUGGGGAGCAAACAGG